This 492-nucleotide ribosomal RNA is filed under the name uncultured bacterium. RNAcentral describes it as "bacterial SSU rRNA". It matches the Rfam family "Bacterial small subunit ribosomal RNA", at positions 30 to 518 of the family's 1533-position model. The record is from RNAcentral.
UGAACGCUGGCGGCGUGCCUAAUACAUGCAAGUCGAACGAGGUAUUUAUACCGAGUGGCGAACGGGUGAGUAACACGUAGGUAACCUGCCUUACAGUUUGGGAUACCCUGGCGAAAGCUAGGCUAAUACCGAAUAAUUGGAUUGGAGGCAUCUCCGAUCUCUAAAAGGGGCCCUUAAAGCCUCGCUGAAUGAUGGACCUGCGGCGCAUUAGCUAGUUGGUGAGAUAAUAGCCCACCAAGGCGAGGAUGCGUAGCCGACCUGAGAGGGUGAACGGCCACACUGGAACUGAGACACGGUCCAGACUCCUACGGGAGGCAGCAGUAGGGAGUUUUCGGCAAUGGGGGAAACCCUGACCGAGCAACGCCGCGUGAAUGAUGAAGGUCUUCGGAUUGUAAAGUUCUGUUGUAAGGGAAAAAUGAUAUGGUGAGGAAAUGCUCCAUAUUUGAUGGUACCUUAUUAGAAAGCCACGGCUAACUACGUGCCAGCCGCGGC